RNAcentral lists this ribosomal RNA (472 nucleotides) under uncultured bacterium. RNAcentral's name for it is "partial 16S ribosomal RNA". It matches the Rfam family "Bacterial small subunit ribosomal RNA", at positions 28 to 507 of the family's 1533-position model. The record is from RNAcentral.
GACGAACGCUGGCGGCGUGCUUAACACAUGCAAGUCGAACGCUGAAGCUUGGUGCUUGCUCUGGGUGGAUGAGUGGCGAACGGGUGAGUAAUACGUGAGUAACCUGCCCUUGACUCUGGGAUAAGCCUGGGAAACUGGGUCUAAUACUGGAUAUGACAUGCCACUGCAUGGUGGUGUGUGGAAAGGGUUUUAUUGGUUUUGGAUGGGCUCACGGCCUAUCAGCUUGUUGGUGGGGUAAUGGCCUACCAAGGCGACGACGGGUAGCCGACCUGAGAGGGUGACCGGCCACACUGGGACUGAGACACGGCCCAGACUCCUACGGGAGGCAGCAGUGGGGAGUAUUGCGCAGUGGGCGGGAGCCUGAUGCAGCGACGCCGCGUGAGGGAUGACGGCCUUCGGGUUGUAAACCUCUGUCAGCACAGAAGAGGCGAGAGUGACGGUACGUGCAGAAGAAGCGCCGGCUAACUACGUG